GAUGAACGCUAGCGAUAGGCCUAACACAUGCAAGUCGAGGGGCAUCACAUGAAGUAGCAAUACGGAUGGUGGCGACCGGCGCACGGGUGAGUAACACGUAUGCAACCUGCCUUCAACAAGGGGAUAACCCGUUGAAAGACGGACUAAUACCCUAUAACACAGGGGUCCCGCAUGGGAAUAUUUGUUAAAGGACAACCGGUUGAAGAUGGGCAUGCGUUCCAUUAGCUGGUUGGUGAGGUAACGGCUCACCAAGGCAACGAUGGAUAGGGGAACUGAGAGGUUUAUCCCCCACACUGGUACUGAGACACGGACCAGACUCCUACGGGAGGCAGCAGUGAGGAAUAUUGGUCAAUGGACGCAAGUCUGAACCAGCCACGUCGCGUGAAGGAAGACGGCCCUACGGGUUGUAAACUUCUUUUAUACGGGAAUAAAGUGCCCCACGCGUGGGGUUUUGCAUGUACCGUAUGAAUAAGGAUCGGCUAACUCCGUGCCAGCAGCCGCGGUAA
RNAcentral lists this ribosomal RNA (506 nucleotides) under uncultured bacterium. Its description in RNAcentral is "bacterial SSU rRNA". It matches the Rfam family "Bacterial small subunit ribosomal RNA", at positions 28 to 523 of the family's 1533-position model. The record is from RNAcentral.